AAGUGGCCUCCAUUCCAGUAUUAUUGUUCUUCAUUCCUAUUUUUACUUUUGUCCUCUGGGGAUAAAAAAAAAACCGAUGUUGGUGAUGCUCUUUGCCCCUCUCUUUCUCUUAUCCUUGCUCCCAAGUGCUUUCUCCCAGGUCACAUUAAAGGAAUCUGAACCAGGAGCAGUGAGACCAGGAGAGACCCUCGAGCUGACCUGUACGGUCACUGGGCGCUCUGUGACAAGCAGCUACUGGUGGCACUGGGUACGACAGACCCCCGGGAAAGGGCUUGAAUGGAUGGGAGGGUGGACUGCAAGAUCAUACUAUGCUGCAUCAUUCCAAAACCGAAUCACGAUCUCUGUGGAUUCUUCCCAAACCAAGUACUUUCUGAGACUGAGCUCUGUGACAGCUGCAGACACAGCCAUGUAUUACUGUGCAACAGGCUACUAUGCUUUUGACUACUGGGGACAAGGCACCCUGGUUACAGUCAGCAGUGCUUCCCCAGCUGCCCCAUCUCUUUUCCCUCUCAUUGCUUCUCUUGGGAGCGAGAGCAGUGAAAAGGUCGCCAUCGGGUGCUUGGCCAAGAAUUUCCUUCCUGACUCGGUCACUUUCUCCUGGAGCAAUAAGAACAAUGUCAGCGACAGUACAAUCACGGCCAAGACGUUUCCUUCAGUACUCGACUCCGAAGGGCGUUACACCGCAAGUUCCCAGGCACUCGUCCCAUCUGCUGAUUGGAUAAAGGAGUUUCCAUUUUACUGCAAGGCUGACCAUCCUUCUGGAAACAAAGUGGAAAAAGUAGCCCGUGGCUGUGAUACAUCAGUCGAAAAGCCUCCACCUGAGAUGUCUGUACUUGCACCACCCAUUGAAGCCUUUUUUGGCAGCUACCUGAAUGCCACCCUCACCUGCAACGUAGUUAACCUUCCCUCCAGUAAGUACACACUUCAGUGGCUGAAGAAGGGACAGGUACUCACCACCGCCCAGCCAGUCCGAGAUGGCAGUAGUUACAGCAUAAGGAGUGAACUCAUAGUCACCAAGACAGAUUGGCUCAGCGACAUUUUCUUCUCUUGUGUGGUGAAUGGCAAGGACUUCAACGACUCACGGAAGAUCAACAGGCAAUCUUUUUGUCAAGCUGGCUAUUUCUGUAACCAGGAUGCCCGUGUGGAAACAAUCCCACCAUCCUACGCUGACAUCUUCCAGACCAAGUCAGCCAAGCUGACCUGCAGAAUUUCAAACAUACCCGUUGAACAGGAUCUUUCGGCACUGAAUGUUACCUGGACAAAAGAAUCUGACCAUACACUACUGAAGACCAUUAUUGGAAAGCCAGAAGAUCAGGCUAAUGGGCUUACUUACAUUGACGCUACAGCCACCGUGUGUGCCACAGAGUGGGACAACCAUGAAACCUUCACGUGCAAAGUUAAUUUCCCAGGCUUACUUCCUGAACCUAUCGACAAAACUUUGGAAAAGUUUAAAGGUGGCACCCCAUAUAGCCCAGCCAUCUACGUCUUCCCCCCUACCUCGGAAGAACUAGCUCUGCGAGAAACAGCCACCCUCACUUGCCUAGUGAAAGGUUUCUACCCCCAAGGUAUCUUUCUGCAGUGGCUCCACAAUGAUCAGCCAGUGAAUCCUGCAAAUUUCUACACCAGUGAACCCAAAGAAGAGCCCAAGAUACAAGGAAAGUUCUUUGUCUAUAGCAUAUUGUACAUCAGUGAAAGUGACUGGAGUCAUGGAGACCAUUACACUUGUGUCGUGGGACAUGAGGCGCUGCCCAUGAACAGCACUCAGAAGACCGUGGACAAGAACACGGGUAAACCAACUGUUGUCAACGUCUCCUUAAUGCUCUCCGAUACGGCCACAACUUGCAACUAAACACCAUGAUAGUUUCUCUCAUGCAUCCUCCAUGCUCCCAUUACCACCGGAAUCUGUUUCCUCCUUGUGCCUCUUCCUGCUUCAUUAUUGAUUCUUCAGUUGAAAAUUGGGGUUUGAUUCUAAGGAAAGAUGUGUCUCACAUGUUAAAGCGUUAACUGACCACAUCUUUUGGAAGAAAGAAAUAGUUUGCAAUAAAGUAUUGUUGUUUUUUUCAAACAAUGAAAGAA
Non-coding RNA from Zootoca vivipara (common lizard), 2076 nucleotides. The record is from the annotation of a RefSeq genome assembly. NCBI's taxonomy places the organism in Eukaryota, Metazoa, Chordata, Lepidosauria, Squamata, Lacertidae.